Long non-coding RNA from Balaenoptera acutorostrata (minke whale), 5223 nucleotides. RefSeq lists it as uncharacterized. The transcript has 6 exons. NCBI's taxonomy places the organism in Eukaryota, Metazoa, Chordata, Mammalia, Artiodactyla, Balaenopteridae. The record is from RefSeq and is a predicted model, not a curated record.
GGCGUCACACCCCGUAACUGGCAGCCCCCGCUCGGUGCUUCUCAUCCGGGUCUCUCUUGCCCGGCGGGCGCCCAGCCCCCGCCGCCCGGGCCCCGCGGACCUGCAAACCCCAGGCCCGGAGCGGAUUGCCCUUGGCGCUUUCCCGGGCUCGGCAGAGGGGUUCCCGGCUGGGAUCUCUGGGGUCGCGCUGGCGAUGCGCAGCGAAGAAAGGCGAGGCGUUGCUCUCCGAGCGCGAGGAGGCGGGAUGCGCUCGCCGGGGUCGCCGGGGCGCCGCUGGGGAACCCGGGCCAGCGAACCCAAGCGCGAUCUCCGCGUGUCCCGGACUCAGAGGCCGGGGCUGCCGGCUCUUUGGCCUUGGAUGGAAAGUGGGGAAUGGGGUAGGGGCCUCCGGACCCCCUAACGUGGAUUACUUGGUGCGUCUCGGCCGGGCUCGGAUGACCCACAACCUCGUCUCCAUCCGUGGAUUGAUGCACAUUCUACCUAACAGUCGCGUCCCUUACCUGUAGGUGAAAUCAGAGGUUCGUGACUGACCUGAGUAGGUGCUUGGAACCGAGAAAGAAGGACAAGAUAAAAGGUCCACACAGUAAGCCAGGUACUCUGAAUGCAAAGAAGAAACACCUGGCCGCACCCCUCCAGCUGCCAGACCUGCGUGGGCCUCAGGAAGGUUCAGGAGGCAUCCAAACACCUGCCAGCACCUGCCUGCCUUCAGUGCACCUGCUCUUUCUCUCCAGGCCGAUGCGCAGUCCGUCUUGGUGUCCAGAUCCAGACAGCUCAGAGGUGCCUCUGUGUCCUCACUGCGGGUGGGUCGCAGGCCUUGAACAUUAAGGCCUGGAAGGCAGGACAGGUAAAGAGCUGUUCCUCUUCACCCACACUUCCCACCAGGAACCUUAGUGGAGCCAAAGUUUGCCACUAGGACCACCACAGGACCUGGCUAAGAUAGGACCAUCUCUUAAGAGGCAAGAGCUCUGGAUUUGAUUGAGAAUUCUUAUUUUGGAGAAUAAAGAAACUUCUGGAUUGGAGAAGACAUUCGAGGAGAAAGCAAAGACCCUUGCCCUGAGGAAUAGUGUCUUGUGUUGACCUGCAUGAACUGGAGGCCACCUACAAUUAAAGAAGAUGCCAGGGUCCCGGGCCUUCUUCUUCCUUCUGGUGGGAAACGUUUCUUCUGCUGCUGCCUGGUCUUAAGACUCCCCUGUACCAGUCCUUGGGAACCAGAGGGCUUUCUGCCCCACCCUUUCUUGCCCCCUGCACCCGCCACGUCUGCUGUGCCUUUGGACUCAGCAGUUCUUCUCAUUCGCUCCAUUAUCUCCCACCCAGAUACAGAGUGAAUAGUUACCUACAUGUAGGUCAGUGGGAUCUUACUUUUUGCUCCUGCUUCUUCUGAGGAGGCCGAUGUUUGCACGUUGCUGUACAAGCAGCCUUGGAAUAGUAUCCCUUCUCAUCUAUGUGGGAUCUGGCCCCCACAGGCUCCAGAGUGUUGCGCAUCUGUGCGGAAAUCCUUCAGGCUCUAAUAUGCUAGGAUGUUGGAGGGGGCUUCGGCAGGGAGCUGGAUCCUGAAGGCUAGCGUCCCCCACGUUCAACUUUCUUGGUUUGGAUCGCAUGCAGGUGUGCGUCUGGAGGAGCAGAAAAUGAAUACGCCUUCGUUUACACAGAUGCAUGGUCCACUGUGAAGACUCUCUUCCUUCCAGCUGGGCAGUUGAGGUCCAUGUCAGAACAUGAUGCUUCAUUACAGAGUAUCCAGCGACCAGAGUUGAUGGUGUUUCUUGAGGACCCUCUCCCUCCAGUGUGUGCUGGUGACACCUACACCCGACCAUAGGUGGGGCCCCACGAAACACAAGUCCUGUUUGUUCCUUUCACUCUGUAGCCACCAUAUAUGUGGCUGAAAACUUUUCCUGGAGACUGAUCGUGGUUCAACCUUGUCCAAAAUGCAGAGCCAGAGAUGUGUGUACUUUCUCUUUCCAAAGCAAAUGGAUGACUUGCCUUUGUAAAAAGAAUUCAAGCCAGACGUAUACAUGUUCCCUGGGUUGUAGAUGCUGCGUAUGUAUGACCAUUUAGUGAUGUCAGUGUCUUGUCAGGGGAGCAAUGGGGUCCAUCUUGGCGUCUCAGAUUCACCACCAAACAAAUGAGGGGAACCUCUGAGGGAUGUUUCGUGCUAUUGAAAUGGGAAGCUUGUUUGUGGGCUUUCACCUUCCUUCCUUGACCAGUAUACACACGCCUCACAUUAGCUUCCUUCGGGUUUUAAGGAAAACAGACCCAUUUAUAUCACCUCUGUAAAUGCUGGUGUGUUUCAGGUUGCCAUGGAAACAACGUAUUGAUAGAAAGGAAACAGUCUACUCAGCAGCUGCCCACCCAGGCCUUCCCAAGAAGCCCAAGUCAUUCAAGAUACCCAGUCUCAGUGGGUGGUUUCCAGGGAUAGCAAAACUGAACCACCAUGCUCACCUUGAUCUUCCGUUGGCAUCAGCACCCGCUGCUCCUGAUUCUAGGAGACUGCCAUGGUGAUGGGCUGAUGGUGACUAUCUGUCCCAGUUUGCCCGGGACUGAGGGAUUUCCUGGGAUGCAGGACUUUUGGUGCUAAACCUGGGGCAGUCCUAAGCAAAUUGGAACAACUGGUCACCCUACUGGAGACUCGAUGACCUUGCCUCUGCUUCUACUUCAUCUGCUGGAACUGGCUGAUGCUCUUGAUUGGCUUGGCCAGAUGCCAUUCAGAGCCCUUGCGUCUGGCCACUUCAUUGGCCACUGGGCAGCCUCUAGAUGGACCAGGCGCACCAACCGAUCUUGACCACAUGAGUUGUUUCCAAGGUGGCAGGACUGCAUGAUACUGAAUCAAAACCUGGCUAUAAAGAACCAGCUGAGACCACAUCCUUCAGAAGCGUGCUGUGGACAGAUGGGCAUGGUUAUUACAGAAUAUUGGGCAGAGUUCCCUGUGCUAUACAGUAGGGGGAUGUGAGUUGGCUGUGGUGGAAACAGGAUGCUCUUUUUCAUGCAGAUAUUCAGAGACUCAGGUUCCUGUCUUAGGACAUCACCAGACCUCUAGCAGUGACACGUCCAAGGAGUAACUUAACCUCAUCUUUAAACUGCUUCGUAAGGUGGUUGCAAGGUUUAGACGAGUUACUGCAGGCGUGGCACUUAGAACGGUGCCAGGGACGCGGCGCUCGAUAAAUGUGGGCUCUUCGCUCUACGCUCUGAACGUGGAACUGUAUGGGCCCAUCUGCCGUGACUCUGGGCUCACGUGAUUUCUGCGCCUGGGUAGCAGGAGACUUCAAAUGCGAACUCCGCCACUACAUCUACGGUUCCCCAGUGUGGACAAGGCAUCGCUGAAUCUCUCCAGCUGUGGGGAGCCCUUUCGGUUGUUUGGUUUGGUUUGGGGGCUAGAGCUGGGUUGCCAGCCGAGAGUAUAGAUGAUGAUGCCUGGAUACUAGCCCUCGGAACGGCGAUUCUCCUUCUUGGGGACCCUCAGCACCACGUCAGCUUCAUCUGACUCUAAUACCGGUCAAGCUUUGUCUCCCCAAGUCCAGGUUCUCUCCAGAACUUGUCAGUUGCCUCAACUGACUAAGGAAGCCCUGCAGACUACUCAAUCAGACAUACGCAUUGAGUUCUUGAAGCCCUUUCUGUUGCCUCCUCUACCCGGGCAGAGAAAGGAGCUGAUCUCACAAGCCAGGCAGGCUUCUCCCCAUUUCCACACCUAGAUUUCACAUCACACCCUUCCUCUCCACUGCAGACCAGUGAGCUCCUCUCUCAGCCCCCCGGCUGGGCGUGGGUUCUUGUAGCUGUGAGACCUCAGUCGCUCAGGAUUCUAGCACCAGCUCGUCUGUUCUGUCUUCGGCUCUCCUGGCGCCGCCGGAGAAUGGAAAAGCUGGUCUGUUUACAGGACAUGGGGCCAGAACAGCAUUAAAAACUAAGGAACAAAUGAAACGUGGUAAACAAAUUUACUUUCCAGUAAGGAGUGCUCCUAGCCCGGUCCUUCAACAGGAACCAUUUUCCUCAUGUGUUUGGAUAAACGUUCAUUCUGGGCAAUUACCAUUCCCAGGGAGCGGCUGCCUAUUUCCGUUGGCUAUUUAUUUUGAUUUUGACCGUUUCUCCCCCUUCUGAGCAUCAGACACCUAAUAGUAAAGAAACUGUGCUCCCUCCCGGGGCACUGGGAGCAACCCCCCAAGCCUUCCUUCUCUCGUCUCUUCCAUCACUCCUUCACCUCCAGACAAGGCAAGGACAUGGCGGGCAUCUUGCCCUGGAUGGAAGCUGCUCUCCGGGGAGAAGGAAGGAGGGAAGGAGGUGAAGCAGAGGAGAGAAAUGGUUUCAAAUAAAAGCUGGAACAGAUACAAAGGUUUGUGUGUGGGUGACCGUCUCUUUGAGAAAGCUCUUCAGCAUGAAUCCCCCUUGUGAGUUUUCGUGGGAGCAGAAAGCCAUUGAUCUCAGGUUUCCUGACCCCAGCAGGUAGCUUAUUGUAAAGCAGUUCAUCCAGAGGGGAAAAAAUACCUUGUUUCAGCAUUUUAAUUUUUUUUCCAGGGCUCUGAACCAGACUUGUAAGAAAGGAGAUAGAGAGGAUUAACUUAUUCUUUCCUAGCUCUGAAAUAGAUGUAACUGGCGGGGGAAAAAAAAAAAAGAAGCAAACAACUUGGAACAAUGAUUAUUCUUGUUUACUUGUUUAGAAAUGCAUAGUUAUGAAGGGCCCCUAUUUGCAUAUUUUAAACUCCCCCUCCCCCUCCUCAUUACCCUCUGCCCUGUUUUCCUUCUGUGCUGGGAUGGAGGAAGGGAAGGCACACCCUAAGCAGACAGUGGUCAGUGUGGGUGAUAACUUACUUUCUGCCUAAGUUCACUUCACUUUCUAAAUUCCUUGCCUUUGCCUGGUUGGAUGAAUUGGUGUUCUUGGUGGUGCUGAAUUCAGAGAGGCCCUGAGGAGCGGAGUGCCGCUGACUCACGGACAAGACACGGGGUGGCUCUGGCUUUGGAGUCCUUAAAAGACUGGACUCAGGGCGGCACCAGGAAGGGGCGGGGGCUGGAGGGUGCGCUCUGCCACCCCACCACAGCUUCCCCACGAGCCCCAGCCUGCAAAUGGCCUUCCCAACUGCCACUCCCAAACCUUCUCCCAGAGACAUCCCAGAGCUGUCACAGGGUCACUUGUCCUGGGCCUUACCUGGGUCACGAGUUGGUGACGUGGGGAAGGGCGAAGCGAGACCUUUCGCCCGUUGGAGGAUGUUGGAGACACUUUCCUCUUUGGAGGAUGUGGGC